GCUGUCUGUCCUUGGAUCAGUAUGGACCAGCGUGAUGAUGACUCCGGCCUCAUCGACGAGCUGCUUGCUCUCAGUUUAAGGAACUUUAGGAUGUGAAUGAACACGUCCUUCCAAGAUCCACCUGCUAGACUCACCUGGGAAGACGAUGGGAAGCAGUGAGGUCCUGGGCCCCCGAGAGCUGGUGUGUUCCCCCUCCUCCGGCACUACAAGAGCAGUGUGCCUCUACUGUGGAAAUACAGACCAUUCCUCUUCAAAGAAGAAUCCUCAGAGAAUCUCACCUCCAGAAGCAUCCACUGCCCACACCUGAGUGCCCGCCUCCCCUGCAGGGACGCCAGGGACCCGAGAUCCCAGUGGACGGCCAAGACUGUGGAGAGCAUCACAGCCCAGAUACUGUCCAUGUGCUUUUCAUGUACGUGCAUUCCUAGGAUACCAUUUAGCUAUGAAUCAGGUAAGUCAGAGAUCUGAAACAAUAGCUACAAUAAAACACAACUGUAAUGGUCAACUGUAAAGGCAGUUAGGUGACCAACCCCCCAUCGUGUUGGACACUGCACACAUCCGGAUCUACCGCUGCAUGUGAGGAACCCCACUCCUCUAUACUUCUCAGGACCAAGGCGCAGACCCUGUUUCUUUCCCUUUGUUUUCAGUGCAGGAGAUUAACCUGAGGCCUCACCCAUGCUAGGCAAGCCCUCCGCCACCACUCACCCUGAGCUGCUCCCGGAGCAGUCAGGCUCCUUAAAGCUGCCAUUUCAAUCUGCAGCCAUGCUGUUAACAUCUCCACGCUUUAUCAAAUCCCCUCUCCUGCAGCAGCCCGGGGAGACGUCCCUGUGCACGGACAUUGCUGGUAUUUACCCUUCGCCGAUUUCUCACUUUCUACUCUUAUAAACAAAGAGCCAUGAACAUCUGUCCAGCCGCAUCUGUGCACGCAGUCACUUCCUCAGGGCCCUGUCUCAGAAGGCGAUGGCUGGAUUAAAGCACGCGGCCUACGGCUUUCUAAAAAAUUACCAGGGGGCAAGUGAACUUUUAAAAACCAGUAUUGUUUCCAAACAGAAGGGAAAGACUCACGGCUCAGGACGCACCAUGGAUGGGGGGACAGGGUGCAGACAGGAGGUGCCUGACUGCCGAGGGGACCAGAGCUGAGGUCCGGGUCCGCGGGGCAGGUGUGGCUGGGCACAGGGCAGGUCCUCAGGGCAGGCCUGGCUUUCUCCUUGGCGUCUGCUGUGUGCCCUCAUCAGCACAUUGCCAGAGUUCUCAGGGUGGGGCCUGGGCCCACAGCCUUGGGACAGACACCUGACUGGCGGCAGGGGGUUCAACCCCCCAACACACACAGCCGACUCGCUGCUCUGAUCAGAGCCCUGCAUGGGCUCCUGCAGAGAGGGCAGGUUCCCAGCAGCAGGCAGUAGCCCCUGAAGACAGACAAAGAUAAUGUGCCCAGCACAGUCCAAACCCGGGCUCGGGCACUGCUCCCCUAGUGGUCUGUGGAAUCAGUUAAGGGAAAACCAACUGGCAGCCUGUCGGAGCCACUGCGCCGUGACAGCCCUGUGCCCAAGCACCGGCACCGGCUGAGCUCUUCCUGCCGUAACCUGCUGUCUGCAUGUCUAUCAUGACAAAGUUCACACUUGGUAAAAUCCACCAUGUGGCUUUUAGUUGCAACAAACGUGCACAGUUGUUCAAGCGCCACCUCUCUCAGGAUGCCGGCAAUUCCACCGCCUUCCUGAGCUGCAGUCCCUCACCUCUCCCGGCCUUUGGAUCAGGAAGACGCGGGCAGCAGCUCACCCACACGAGUGUCGCUUUGAUGACGUCUGCACGGAAAGAGCAUCUCACAGCUACCUCCGUCCGGUCCACAGUCUGCUCAGAUGUGGGAAUGGCGGGAGGAAUGCGUGUGUGUCGAAUGCCAGCAACACUAAUUCAGCAAAAUUGCCUUCAGAACCCACCCAAGCACUCUGCCGCCUGCCAGCGAGCGUCUCACAGCCCCUCGCCCCGGGAGCCCACCCAGGUCGUGUCAACGGCCGCCUUCCAGAGCUGCGGGGUGGAGCGGAGCUGCUGUCCGGUGGCAGGAUGGGGACAUCAGGAGGACCGGGAGGACCCAGCUGGUGCAGAGCAGGGCUCCUGCAGAGGGUGCGGUGCGGGUGGAGGGAGGCAGCCCCAUGAACGUGGGGUGCAGAGGCCAGCACCAGGCACUGCGGGCGUCCUGCAGCAGCAGGGCCACGGCAGAGCGCUCUACUGUUGCCCGUCAUUCCCUGCAGUUCUCAAAGAGGGGCCUGUUUUAAAGUGGAGAAGACGCGGGACUGCCUGCCAGGCGCCUGGCUGGGGUGCCAUCUAUGUUCCUGGGCAUCACAUGGGUGUCUCAGGCAACCCCCACACUCCCCUCGGCCCCAGAGACUGAUAUAGCCUCCUCCGCAGCUGUCACAGUAUGCUCUGAGGGCUCCGUGUCAGGUAGCACACACAAUCCACGCAGAAUAGUCAGGAAGCAUUGCUGGCCCUUCCCACAGAUGAGAAGACUGAGGCCCAGGGAAGGCGCUUUACAGAGCUCACUGCAGGCAGUGAAGAGGCUGCGCUGCGCCAGGGUCUGUGAUUUUAACCGCCUCGCACCCCCGCUUGAGAGCCGGACGUGGUGGGGAGGCAGAAAAACAGGCUGGAAAACCCAGAUGUGGAGUUUGCUUAUCUACAAAGACAGACAUUCUCCCCGAAGGACAGAAGGAGGCUUCUGAAUCUGCAUGCGAACAUCACAAACACAGCCCAACUCAAACACAGAUGCAGGACUUAGGCAUGUGGCUCCCAAGAUGCCCAAAGCUUCCUCCUCAGGUGGGAAGGUGCCCACUGUCGCUGCUGACCGGGGAAGCGCAGGUCACAAUCCCGAGGACACGCUGCCUCGCACCCAAGGGUGUUGGCAAGGAGGAACCAGGGAGACAGCUCA
Long non-coding RNA from Chinchilla lanigera (long-tailed chinchilla), 2914 nucleotides. RefSeq lists it as uncharacterized. NCBI's taxonomy places the organism in Eukaryota, Metazoa, Chordata, Mammalia, Rodentia, Chinchillidae. The record is from RefSeq and is a predicted model, not a curated record. The transcript is spliced from 3 exons.